GUAAAUACUGACAAGAAAGGGGAAAAUGAAGACUUUACAGUUUUCCUUGUAUUAGAAAAAGAAACAUGAGUUCACCAUAUAAUCAUUGUGAGUUUCCAUAUUCACUCGUUAUUGAUAGAGCACAGGUACUCCAAUAGUUUUGUUGGUACUGAAUCCAUGGAUUGCGUCAAACUGAAAACAACAGGGAAGAACAAUACUAUGUUAAUCACUUAAUAUUGGUAGACAGUAGCAGUUGUAAGUAUUUGCGCUCACAAAAAGGAAGGGGAAGCAUGUACUACCUCCGUUCUCGAAUAUUUGUCGCUCGGUAGUUCAUUUUAACUAAACAACGACAAAUAAAAAAAUGGAGGGAGUACUAAUUUAAGUCUGUACCCACUAAUUUUCAUGUACUACUUCAUAUUUACAUUCUUGUUGUUAACUAAGCCUUCUUUGUUUCCUCAUAUUGCAACAAUUUUGCAACUACCAACUACGACAUUGCUUGAACACAAAAUAUGCUAGAUAGUAGAGGAAUUUAUUCACUAUUGUAGAUGAACCUGAGCAUCAUUGCGCCAAUAGUCUUGUUUUUUCCCCUGAGUAUCAUUGCGCCAAGCUUCGCCCUCGUCUCAGCCGCAUCUGCCACCUUCUCCCAUUCAAUCUUGUCGUCACUGUUGUAGAUGAACCUGGUGUGCUUCCCCUCGAGCUACAGCAACCCGAUAUUCUCCUCCUCUUCAUACAACAUGAGUUUUUUGGAACGAUACUAUCCCCAUCUUUUGGCUUCAGACAAUUAGUAUCCCGAACCAAGCAAUUGGAAUCCUGGUAUUAUAAUGCCAGCAGGUUUGGAUUUUUGCUCUCCUCGUCACUUUUAGCAGUUUAAGAGCGUCAUCGGCUCUGUAACAACGGCAGAGCCCCUCUAUCCUCACUUACCUCGUUCUUCAAAAUGGGUCGCCGACACGCAUUCCACUCUUCUUCCUUCGUCAUCGUAGGCUGACGGCUCUUGGUUCAUGCACUCGUCAGCGGCAAUGGAUCCGCUGCUGCUCAUCCCCCUCGACGAGAUCAUAGGAGAUUGUCUCUAUGCCUUCUACAUCAUAGGAGCUUGUCGUUAUUCCUUUAUCUUCAGAGCUGCUUGUCCCCAUUACUUCUUCUAAACUUGUGCCAGCAGUGGAAUGUUCAGUAGAAGUUGGUUGUGCAAAUUCCCCACCGAGUAGAGUUAGAAGAGAUGUGGAAAAGCUAACUCCAAAGAAGAAGAUCUAGGGAUGCUUGUCCCCAUUAGUUCUUCUGUAAUAUGCUGUAGUGAAUUAGGAAAAUUGAAACCUUUGUUGUAUUUGUGUCCUGAAAACUGAAUGAGGACAGUUGUGUUCAUGUGUAUUUAGUUGGGUAUUUGUGUCCUGAAAGCUAAAUGUUCAGUAGAAGUUGGCUGUGCAAAUUCGGAUGGGUUGUAUUUAUUUGUCCAUGUUGUUAACUGAAUGUUCAGUAGAAAUUGGGUAUGCACCUAUUUCUGUUGAUUGUCGACUAUCCAAAUGUAGCUCAUGAUAGGUUGCUUUGUUCCCGGUAUCUAACUUUUUCAUUCAGUUGAUGGGAGCAGUCCACACAUGCACACAAUCUGAAUUUAGGGCCUCGAAAUGACAAUAAAAAUGAAUGCAGUUCAAUCUGAAUUUAGGUGCAUCCACCACAUCAUUCACCAUAAUGGUACAAACACAAACUAAACAAAGGACACUAGCUAGUUCAAAUUAUAGAAGAUAUAAUCAUUCAACAACAAAGGCCAUUGGCCAGUUCAAAUUACAGAAGACACAACUAAAUUUUUCGAGGCAAUUGGCAGCUUCGGCGGCGGCAAUUGCAGACUUGACAGCUUUGCGGGCAGUGACGCUAGCACGCCUAGCUGCCUCAAGACAAUCAACAACGGCUAAUUGAGCUUUGUCGGACUCCAUGAAAGCGGGCAAUAAGCCAUAGACUGCUCGAAGCCACAGGAGGCGAGGGUGAGGCGGGUAAUAGGAGGACAAUGAACGAGGGUGUCGGAGCCCGAUCUGUUUGGAAGAACGGAGACCGGAAGAGCAAGUUCAUCCACACGAGAAAUGGCUUAGACAGUUAACGGUUGAUUGUUGUAUACGAUGGUAAAACGUGGAACAAUAACAAAAGUCUAAAAGAGACAGUGUUAUAAUACCUGGAUUCCAAUUGCUUCCUUCGGGGUACUAAUUUUUCGAAGCCAAGAUAUGGGGAUACUCUCGUUCCAAAAAAACUCAUCCAACAUGGUCAUCCUGCCGAUCUAAUCUCAUCCUGCCCGGACCUUUUCGGUACCUUCAAAAUACCUUGUUUCUCCUUUCCUCCAUCGGCACGGUACCUGGAGAUGGUGGUGCCAUCGUGAAGUAGUAGGAGGGAGGGUGCAUCAUCGAACUGGGCAGGGGAAGGGUGCCAAUGGCUGAUGUCGACGAGCCACCACCGCACCCCACUCUCAUCUGUCAUCCCCACGACCCCACCCCAAGACUGAGAGUGGAAGCAUCGCCCUCCACCUCGGCCUCCACCUUCGUCGCCACCAUGACCUUGGUUUAGACCCGGAUUGAGGCCUCCGUCGUCGCCGCAGCAGCCUGGACGUGGAUCUUGUCCUCGAUCAUCGCCGCCACAGCCUGGACGCAGAUCUGGAGCGGCUUGGAGCCCAUUCGCACGAAGUUGGAGCUAUGGUGUCGACCUCCAAGCACGCUUCCCCAAACUUUCCUCUUUCGGAUGACGCCCUCUCAUUCACCUCCACGAUCUCCAAGCGUGCAUGCUAGAGAGAAAGGAGGACUAGAUCUAGCGGAGUGGAGGUCGUGGAGAGGUAGCGUGCGGGCGUGGACCGAAGAUGGUGCAGAGGUUGCGAGGAGGAAGGCACCGCCACGUCUCGGGAGACUGAAGCGAGGGAGUGCUUGAAGGGAGAGGUGGAGGGAGGCCCGCUGGACAGGGAUAGCGACAGAGGGAGACUCGAACGUCAGGCUGGGCCGGGGCUAGAGGCGUGCGACCUGCUAGGCAUGUGACGUGGGCCGCGCCAAAUAAGUUGCUGGCUGCUGUCGUCAUCACGACUUGCAAAAUAUAGUACCAUACUGACCAGCCAACAAUCGCGGUACCAGCUUAUAAGCUGUGUUGCUUUAGAAGAAGCAAUCGUGGUCAAAUUCUCUUGCCAGUCUCUACACCUCGAUUUUUUGCGAUGGGAAUGGGAGCCUCGGUGUCGAGGAGAGGCUGUCACGUGGGCCCACAUGUACAGGGAGAAUGGCAGAAUAGCGGGGGGAUCGCGGAUGGGAAUGGCAGAACAGAUGGGAAUAACAGAACUGGGAUGGUGGCAGAACAAGGAAUGACAGACUACUUUUAGAGCCUUAAUAAGUAGUAGAGAUUGUUAGGUAAUCUGUUAAGUUACUAGUUGUGGAAUAGAUACCUAAAUUACUUAUUGUUGUUCAUAAUUUAUUUUUGGAAUUUAAUAUAGAAAAUAUCUAAUUACUCAACAAGCCCGACCUCCACGCGUCUCCGCCUCUUCGACGAGCUCACUCGAAGCCUCUUCCAUGGCUGAUGCUUGCGUGGCCACCUCGGCGUUGACCAGUUCUUGAGGGGUUUGACGUAGCGGCGAAGCUCAAGAUAAUCACGGAGGUCAGGGUGUUGACGAAGGCGCCCACUGUGCUGAGAGGCUAGACUUCUCAAGGAGGAGGAAGAUAGUAUCUUCGAGAAGAUGCGAGCGGUCGACGCAAAGGUUGUUCUCGAGGAAGGCAACGAGAGUUGACCCGCGUGCAAACUGUUGAUGUGCCAUCUAACGGUGGGCCGGCGGCCGUGGAGCUUUGCCCCCGCUAAGGGCUGAUUUGGUAACAAGGGAUCACGGGAGGAUUGAAGGGAAUUGAAGGAGAAAUUAUUUCAUUUCCCCCUUAAUCCCCUCCAAUCCCUCCGUGAUCCCCUUAUCACCAAAUCAACCCUAAUAGGAAUGAGAUAUCUGGCUCCCGUUGGAACCAGGACAUACGGCUGAUAUUAAAGCGCAAGACUUGGCCGCAUGAGCAUCAAGUUGUGCAUAUACAAGGUGGGUGGCCCAUCUAAAAGCUUAUUAAAGUCCUGUUUGUUUUAAAUUAUAAUUUAGUCAGAUUAUAUAAUCUAACAUAAAUAAUCCGAAGAGUAAACAAACAUCUAGAUUAUAUGUCCAGAUUAGAUAAUCAAAUACUCAGAUUAUUAUAAUCAUAUAAUCUUCUCAAGAGUAGCUUAUUUAAAAUUAUUUUUGAUAAAAUACACACUGCCCAUGCUUAUGUGAAUUGAAAUUACGUUAAUCUGCCACCCUCUUUUUCACCCAUCGGUAUCUCAAAGUCCCGCUGGCUGGGAGUCCACACUGCCGCCGCUGCUUGGAGUCCACACCGCCACCCCGUCGUUGCAUUGUACCGCCGCUCCCCAGCCCCAUCUAUAGAUAUCCAAAUGGGUGGGCUGUACCAGUUAGGCCCGGCACGGAUUAGGACCGUGCCGACCCGGCCCGGAUUGGAACCGUGCCGGUCCGCUUCGAAUUAGCUAGCGGGUCGUGUCGUAUCGGCCCAUGAGCCCCGAGCGAGGCCAGGCACGGCACGCUAGGUUAAUAAUCGUGACAGGUCGGCCCACGGCCUAACGGGCCUAUAACAGUAUAUGAUGCUUAAAUGAUAAAAAUAUCCUAAAAUAUGUAUAUUUUAGGGUUUAAACCAUAUUUAUUAGCUCUAAAUAUUUAUUUACACCCAUAUAACUAACAAAAAUACAUGUUUCUUAGGGAUGAAAACGGUCGGAAACGGUCGGUAAACACUAAAACCAUUACCGUUUUCAUAUUUUUUAUCGGAAACAAAAUCGAAAACGGUAACUCCGGAAACGGAAAUGAUAUCGGUAUUUCGGAAACGAAAGUUCGGUGCGGAAAAUACACCGGUAACGGUCGAAAUCUAAAAUACGAUCGGUAAACAUAUCAAACUUCACAAUAAAACAAAAUUGACAAAAGAUCACAAAUACCACAAGUUCACAAUUCAUGAUAUAACAAGUUCAUAAGGAUCACAAAUUUAUAAUAUAAAAAGUUUACAAAGAUCAUAAGUUCACAAUAUAACAAGUUCACAGUAUAACAAGUUCAUAAAGAUCACAAGUUCACAGACUCAAAUUUUACAAUAUCCACUCGAUUUAGUUGACAUGACAUGCUUACUCAUGAAACAUUUUUUCCUCACAUAAAGGGUUUUUUCACAGCCUCACAGGAAAACCCUAAAAUCUAGUGUGUGGAAAAGACAGACUGUCGGCUCUCUAUCAUUAUAUAUUACUAAUACAUAACAUGUGCAUAGAAAAUGGUGGAUUCGUUCGAGAGACCAAAUCGUUAAUCUCAACUGCCUUCCAAUACCAUCUAACCCCAAAAAAAUCUUAAAGCGUCCAAAAAAAUACAAAAAUAAGUAAUCCUUAUCCAGAGAUGUACAGGCGAUGCGAAAAAAAUCACAUGCUGGAAAAUUCCGAAAAAAAUUCCGAAAAAAUUCCGAGACACAAUUCCGGAAAUUUUCGAGACACAAAUCCGGUAAUUUCCGACAAAAACCGGUAACCGAUGAAAACGGUCGGUAAAACAUCACGCCGAUUCCGAUACCGAUUCCGACAGAAAAUUCCGAAAACCGAUUCCGUUUUCGAAAAAUACCGUUACCGGUGAAUCCGAUCGAAAAAUUUCGAAAUCGGUUUCCGGAAUUCCGAAAAAUUCCGAAACCGUUUUCAUCCCUAAUGUUUCUUAUGUUUUAUAAUAUAUAUAUUCAAGUAUAAUAUAUAUAUUUAUAUGAAAAAUAGAAAAAAAUAAAACUGGGUCGUGUCGGAGCUAGCCCGCCGUGCCACACCUUUGGCCUAGGCACGGCCCGGUGAUCAGGUCAGGCCGGCAUGUGCCCGGUUUACAACGUGUCGUGCCGAGUUCGGGCGAGGCCAAACCCGUGCCGGAUUUCAGGCCGGCCGGCAAACCAGGCCCGUUUGAACAUGUAUAGCCCCAUCCUAGGUGCUCGCUCUCUAGCCCAUGCCACUCCGCGCAACAGGUCAUCCUCGUCCACGAUCUCUUCGUCAUUUCUUCCUCCUUGCUCUCGCAGUCUCGCGUCCGUUGCACGCUUCCUUUAUCUAGUUUGGCACCAUCCUUCAAUUUCUCCUUACAUUUUCGAUUGAUUGGUGUGUAUUAAAGGGGAUUAACUUUGUCUCUUCAAGGGGAUUAACAUUGUACCAUAGUCUUGUCCGUAUUCGGAUUUCAGAUUCCAAUCCCCUUCUUCUUAGGGUUCAAGUUCUUCGUCUGUGACAUGCGUCGGAAAAAAUGUCAUUUCCCUUUCCAUUUUUUAAACCAGUGGCCGCAUAUUGAAUGACAUUAGGAUUUAAUUUUUCAAGGAGAUUAACAUUGUAUUUUUGAUAAUUCGUACCCUCGUCCAUUUUGGGAAUUCAUAAUCUAAUCCCCUCCUCCUGCGUGGACAAAUGCAGCAUUAGUGCUUUCUAAUUCCUUCGAACUAUUGCUGAAGAUCUAUGUUUGUGUGUGAUUUCUUAAUCCAGCCUGAACUAAUUCAUGUUUCUGAAAACUUGAAAAGAUAAAAAUUCACUUUGCUUUCUUUUGUUGAGACCUUAGUUAUUCAUCUUUACACCUGAAAAUAGAAUAAAAUUUCCUAAACUUCAACACUUUCCAAAGCCGUGCAUCUUAAUUAAAAAUCAACAUAUCCUUUGUUAUAUGGUUGUUUUACCAUUUGACAGUGCCAUAUAUAGGUAACUCACUAACUUAUUUUUGGGAUCACAGUGAUGUACGAAAAAUGUUAGACCAGAGCAUAAGGCUGUCUCCAGCAACGUCCCCUAAAUUUCAUCCUCUAAAAGAAUAUUCUCUGUCCUUUACAGCACACUCUAAAAGAUUACAUCCUCUAUAUAUUCUUCUUCUCCAGCAACAUCCUCUAAAUUUGGUCCUCUAUAUAUACAGUGUUACCAGAUUUCACAAUAUACAAUUCUUUUUACCGGUGGAUCCUAAAAAUCGUCUGUGACUACUAAAAAUUCCUGCUACUGUUCGGUCAGAAAUUAGAACAUUAUUGUCAAGGAACACAAUACUUUUAACAGGAAACAUCCACCGUAGAUUUAAAAAACUGUGCAUGAAACACAAAAUUAGGGGAAAAUCAGUUGUUUCUGUUUUGGUUAGUUUCCUGUGACUUAUCACCAAUGACAAAAUAAUCAUCAAUUUAUUAAUGGGAAGUUCCUUAGAAGCUAGCAACCAUUCAAAGGGGAAGGAGGACGAUUGGCUAGGAUCCAGAGCAUUCGGAGUUCUUGAGAAGCUAGCAACCAUUCAAAGGGGAAGGAGGAUGAUUGGCUAGGAUCCAGGGCAUUCGGAGUUCCUGAGAAGCUAGCAACCAUUCAAAGGGGAAGUGAGAGGCUAGCAACCAUUCAAAGGGGAAGAGGACGAUUGGCUAAGAUCUACCGAAUUGAAGGAGGAUGAUGCCACCGUCGGGUGGUUGCUGCUUGGAAACCAACGGAUGCGAGCCGUCCUCACCUAGAUCAGGGCGACUCCGGCAGCCUGGUCCUAGCUUCGCGUCCGACAUCCUUGCCGCGAGCGCGCCGACGACAUGGUGGAGAUGGU
This 7522-nucleotide long non-coding RNA is filed under the name Zea mays. Its description in RNAcentral is "long non-coding RNA (ZMAY_LNC000988)". The record is from RNAcentral. Lineage: Eukaryota; Viridiplantae; Streptophyta; Magnoliopsida; Poales; Poaceae.